UGGAGAAUAUUGCACAAUGGGCGCAAGCCUGAUGCAGCCAUGCCGCGUGUGUGAAGAAGGCCUUCGGGUUGUAAAGCACUUUCAGCGGGGAGGAAGGCGUUAAGGUUAAUAACCUUGGCGAUUGACGUUACCCGCAGAAGAAGCACCGGCUAACUCCGUGCCAGCAGCCGCGGUAAUACGGAGGGUGCAAGCGUUAAUCGGAAUUACUGGGCGUAAAGCGCACGCAGGCGGUCUGUCAAGUCGGAUGUGAAAUCCCCGGGCUCAACCUGGGAACUGCAUUCGAAACUGGCAGGCUAGAGUCUUGUAGAGGGGGGUAGAAUUCCAGGUGUAGCGGUGAAAUGCGUAGAGAUCUGGAGGAAUACCGGUGGCGAAGGCGGCCCCCUGGACAAAGACUGACGCUCAGGUGCGAAAGCGUGGGGAGCAAACAGG
Molecule: ribosomal RNA, 429 nt
Filed under: Chloroflexota bacterium
Lineage: Bacteria; Bacillati; Chloroflexota
Description: Chloroflexi bacterium partial 16S ribosomal RNA
Rfam family: Bacterial small subunit ribosomal RNA
Source: RNAcentral